AGGCUGAGACCUGAUGCCGAGCCGAUUGUGGUGAAGUGGAUGAUCCUAUGCUGUCGAGAAAAGCCUCUAGCGAGUUUCAUGGCGGCCCGUACCCUAAACCGACUCAGGUGGUCAGGUAGAGAAUACCGAGGCGUUCGGGUGAACUAUGGUUAAGGAACUCGGCAAAAUGCCCCCGUAACUUCGGGAGAAGGGGGGCCAUCACCGGUGAUAGCACUUGCUGCUUGAGCUGGGGGUGGCCGCAGAGACCAGCGAGAAGCGACUGUUUACUAAAAACACAGGUCCGUGCGAAGCCGUAAGGCGAUGUAUACGGACUGACGCCUGCCCGGUGCUGGAACGUUAAGGGGACCGGUUAGUCACUCUUCGGGGUGGCGAAGCUGAGAACUUAAGCGCCAGUAAACGGCGGUGGUAACUAUAACCAUCCUAAGGUAGCGAAAUUCCUUGUCGGGUAAGUUCCGACCUGCACGAAUGGCGUAACGACUUCUCGACUGUCUCAACCAUAGGCCCGGUGAAAUUGCACUACGAGUAAAGAUGCUCGUUUCGCGCAGCAGGACGGAAAGACCCCGGGACCUUUACUACAGUUUGAUAUUGGUGUUCGGUUCGGCUUGUGUAGGAUAGCUGGGAGACUGUGAAGCUCGGACGCCAGUUCGGGUGGAGUCGUCGUUGAAAUACCAGUCUGGUCGUGCUGGAUGUCUAACCUGGGUCCGUGAUCCGGAUCAGGGACAGUGUCUGAUGGGUAGUUUAACUGGGGCGGUUGCCUCCCAAAGGGUAACGGAGGCGCCCAAAGGUUCCCUCAGCCUGGUUGGCAAUCAGGUGGUGAGUGUAAGUGCACAAGGGAGCUUGACUGUGAGACCGACGGGUCGAGCAGGGACGAAAGUCGGGACUAGUGAUCCGGCGGUGGCUUGUGGAAGCGCCGUCGCUCAACGGAUAAAAGGUACCCCGGGGAUAACAGGCUGAUCUUCCCCAAGAGUCCAUAUCGACGGGAUGGUUUGGCACCUCGAUGUCGGCUCGUCGCAUCCUGGGGCUGGAGUCGGUCCCAAGGGUUGGGCUGUUCGCCCAUUAAAGCGGUACGCGAGCUGGGUUUAGAACGUCGUGAGACAGUUCGGUCCCUAUCCGCUGCGCGCGCAGGAAUAUUGAGAAGGGCUGUCCCUAGUACGAGAGGACCGGGACGGACGAACCUCUGGUGUGCCAGUUGUUCUGCCAAGGGCAUGGCUGGUUGGCUACGUUCGGGAGGGAUAACCGCUGAAAGCAUCUAAGCGGGAAGCCUGCUUCGAGAUGAGUAUUCCCACCCACUUGAUGGGGUAAGGCUCCCAGUAGACGACUGGGUUGAUAGGCCAGAUAUGGAAGCCCAGUAAUGGGUGGAGUUGACUGGUACUAAUAGGCCGAGGGCUUGUCCUC
RNAcentral lists this ribosomal RNA (1395 nucleotides) under Streptomyces scabiei. RNAcentral's name for it is "bacterial LSU rRNA". It matches the Rfam family "Bacterial large subunit ribosomal RNA", at positions 1553 to 2925 of the family's 2925-position model. The record is from RNAcentral. Lineage: Bacteria; Bacillati; Actinomycetota; Actinomycetes; Kitasatosporales; Streptomycetaceae.